UGGGUUGUAUCUGUUUGGCUAUAUAAAAGGGUAAGAUUUCUUUUUGACUUUGCAAUCUCUUUAGUCGCUUGCCUGUGAUGCACAUCAUAUCCAGUUUAAUGCUUAUUC
Ceratotherium simum simum (southern white rhinoceros) is the source of this 108-nucleotide non-coding RNA. Lineage: Eukaryota; Metazoa; Chordata; Mammalia; Perissodactyla; Rhinocerotidae. The record is from RefSeq and is a predicted model, not a curated record.